UUUUUAUGUAAAUUUUGGAUUUUAAAUAAAUUAUUAAGCAGUAAUUAAUUUUAAUUAUUCAAGAUAUUGAGAAUUAGUAAUGUUUUUUUAUUUUGAUUAAAUUUGUGCCAGCAAUCGCGGUUAUACAAAUAAGGUAAUAUAUUCUUUUUGGUUAGUAGUUAAUUUCUUUUUUAGGUUGAUUUAAAUAUUUUUAAGUGAAAUUGUGAUCUUUAUGUUGACUUUUUUUAUUGAGGCUAUUAAUUUUUUUAUUAAACUAGGAUUAGAUACCCUAUUAUUUAAAAUGUAAAAAUUUUACCAGGUUAGUAUUAGUUUUGUUCUUGAAAACCAAAGAUUUUGGCGGUAUCUUAUUCUUUCCAGAGGAACCUGUCCUUUAAUUGAUAAUCCACGAUUAAUUUAACUUUACUUAAGUUUGUAUAUCGUCGUAGUUGAAUAUUCUAUAAGGACUAAAAUAUUCAAAAUUCUUAAAGAAGUUAAAAUUCAGAUCAAGAUGCAGCUUGUAGUGGAGAAGAGAUGGGUUACUUUAUUUUUAUUAUGGUUUAAAUUUUGGAAUAUUUUAAUUAAAUUGGAUUUGGAAGUAAUUUUCUAUAACUAUAGAAUUUGAUUAAGCUCUAAGAUAUGCACAUAUCGCCCGUCGCUUUCAUAAAAGUGAAAUAAGUCGUAACAAAGUAGGUGUACUGGAAAGUGUACCUAGAAUGA
Molecule: ribosomal RNA, 696 nt
Filed under: Sambus femoralis
Lineage: Eukaryota; Metazoa; Arthropoda; Insecta; Coleoptera; Buprestidae
Description: 12S ribosomal RNA
Source: RNAcentral